AGAGCAUCCUGUCAGAGCCAGGAGGUGAGGAUCUGGGCUUUACUCACGUAUCUAACAAUUAUCCCGAACGGUACCAGAAGCAGGAAAUUAUGUAUUGCCCUAUAUAUGGCAUUCCCUCCCGGAGAGCACACCAUUUAUCACGGCUUUUUAAUCUCCUCCAUGUGCAUUGGAAGAUAAAACAUCUCUGCAAUAUUUCAGUGUUUGGAGAAGAUAAAAGCCCUGCGUACAUUUCCGUUUGUGUCACCCAGUUCCGCUACUGCGUCUAACUGGGUCAGAGUUCAGCAGGGUUUGAUACGCCUUCAGGAAUGUGGCUGUUUAUCUGGAGUUUCUGCGGACCCUCUGAAAAAAAUCACAUAAGUAACCCUACCCGGAAAAGCUGGAAACAUGCAUGUUUCUCUCAAUAUUUCCUUCUCCCAGCACUUCCUCUUUUUAAUGCUAGCCCAGUGUGCCUGGAGACAUUCGCUGAGCUAAGAGUGAAGAAGGCAAAGCCAGAAUUUAGAUCCUUGGACUGGCCGUGGAUGUCCUUUCCCUUAGAGAGGAGCCCCUAACUUCAUGCUGCAGCCCCCAAAUGGAAGCGCUGUCCCCACCUGGUCUGCCCUCAGGAGAGGCCUGAGAAAGAUGCUCUGGAUCCUGGAGAAUGGCCUAUCAGAAACUGUGUUACUCAGAGAAACAUAAGCAACAGGGCAAACCAAUAUAAACAGGAGCCAUACAAACCACAUGGCUCACAUGACUGUGGGGGAAUGCUGAGUCCAAAAUCUGUAGAUCAGGCUGGAAAUUCAAGUAGGAGUUGUCAUUGAGUCUUGAGUCUGAAGGUUGGAAACUCAGGCAGAAUUUCUACACUGUGGUCUAGAGGCAGAAUUCCUUCUUUUUUGGGAAAUCUCAAGUCUUUGUUCUUAAGACCUUCAACUGAUUGAAUGAGGCCCCCCACAUGAUGAGGAGUAAUCUGCUUUAGCUAAAGUCAACUGAUUGUAAAUGUUAAUCACGUCUGAAAAAUACCUUCUCAGUAACGCCUAGCGUAGUGUUUGACCAAACAGCUGGCACCAUAGCCUAGCAAAGGUGACACAUAAAUUUGACCAUCACAGAGACCAAGCACCCUGCUGACUGUGAGUCCAUAGUACCUUCUUCACAUGACAAGCAGUGAAUUCCAAGGCUACCUCUCGCCCUGCCUGUGCCUGGUGAGCUUGUGCAGCAGGCAAUUUCCUCUGUCAACUGGAUUCCAUCCUUUGGAGAAAAGCCAUGUAUGUCCCUUGCAGGAUGGCCAAGGUUUCUUUCUGUGCAUAUCUUCCUUUCUUGUGGCAUCACUUCCCUUCUUCCUGUCUCAGCUCUCUUGACCUCCCAUGCGGAGCACAGGGUCCUCUUCCACAACAUCAUGUUUAAAGAGCAAACUAUUUCAUAUACGUAUAAUAUACAUACAGAAAGAGCACAGACCAUAAGACCACAGCUUGAUGAAUUUUCACCAUGCAGCCUUCCUCAUCUAACCAGCCCUGGACCAAGAAACAGAGUAUUCCCACUUCUCAGAUGCUUCCCUAGUGCCACCACCCCUGUCACUACUCCCUGGCCCAAGGGUUAUCUCUCUCCUGACUGCUGGCACCACACAUUAGUUUCCCUUUAUUCUGA
Molecule: long non-coding RNA, 1617 nt
Organism: Equus asinus (donkey)
Lineage: Eukaryota; Metazoa; Chordata; Mammalia; Perissodactyla; Equidae
Source: Ensembl